This 339-nucleotide unclassified non-coding RNA is filed under the name soil metagenome. RNAcentral describes it as "partial contains 5.8S ribosomal RNA, internal transcribed spacer 2, and large subunit ribosomal RNA". The stretch from base 1 to 120 matches the Rfam family "5.8S ribosomal RNA", at positions 35 to 154 of the family's 154-position model. The record is from RNAcentral.
GAUGAAGAACGUAGCAAAAUGCGAUACGUAGUGUGAAUUGCAGAAUUCAGUGAAUCAUCGAAUCUUUGAACGCACAUUGCACCUCUCGGUAUUCCGGGAGGUAUGCCUGUUCGAGCGUCAUUUGUACCCUCAAGCUCUGCUUGGUGUUGGGUGUUUGUUCCGCCUCUGUGUGUGAACUCGCCUCAAAACAAUUGGCAGCCGGCGUACUUGUUUCGGAGCGCAGCACAUUUUGCGAUCCAGAUCAACGUACAGCGGCAUCCAAGAAGCCUUAUUUAACGCUCUUGACCUCGGAUCAGGUAGGGAUACCCGCUGAACUUAAGCAUAUCAAUAAGCGGAGGA